Molecule: long non-coding RNA, 316 nt
Filed under: Setaria italica (foxtail millet)
Lineage: Eukaryota; Viridiplantae; Streptophyta; Magnoliopsida; Poales; Poaceae
Description: long non-coding RNA (SITA_LNC000193)
Source: RNAcentral
UCACGGUUCCAAGAGCCACAGGCAGCUGGGUUCCAUUGGUGCUGGAACAACGCCGGGGCGCGUGUACAAGGGGAAGAAGAUGCCCGGGAGGAUGGGAGGAACCAAGACCAAGAUCAGGAAGCUCAAGAUCGUCAAGAUUGACAACGACCUCCGGGUCGUCAUGAUCAAGGGCGCUGUGCCAGGGAAGCCCGGCAACCUCCUCCGCAUCGCGCCUGCCAAGAUUGUUGGCAAGAACAUCCCCAAGAACUAGAAUUGUUUUUGCUGAUUUUUUAGUGUUUCCCUACCCUGCUGCAAAAUGGAUGUAAUUUCAUCGCCA